Molecule: long non-coding RNA, 4970 nt
Filed under: Nicotiana tabacum (common tobacco)
Lineage: Eukaryota; Viridiplantae; Streptophyta; Magnoliopsida; Solanales; Solanaceae
Description: long non-coding RNA (NTAB_LNC001092)
Source: RNAcentral
AAAAAUCUCACAAAUUACUAACAUAAGAUACAUUCCCAAAACACAGUGUCACUGAGAACAUGAGCAUCUAAAUGAUAACAAAGUUUGACUGCUAAAAACAGUGUCUGAAAAUGUAGAACAGUACAAAAACUGAAGGGAAAGAGAAUCAAGGUUUGUAGACGUCAAGCAACUACCUCGAUGAUCUCCAACAGAUAAAACUCCAAGAACUAGCAGCCGCCGUGUCCAGAAGUACAUAGAUCUGCACACGAGGUGCAGGGUGUAGUAUGAGUACAACCAACUCAGCAAGUAAUAAUACUAAAUAAAGAAUUGAAAGUAGUGACGAGCUUCACAACUAAGUCCAAUUACAAUAAUUUCCAACAUAAGAAAGUAGGCAUGCUUGUAAGUUUAACAAUUAAGCCCCAAACAGUAAUUUCAUAUCAAGUUCAACUAAAACAGGAGAUAAUAUCUUUUAGAAAUUUCCAACACAGUGAUAUAUAUGACAACGGUAGUGCAAUAAGAAUGAAAUCAAACAUAUCCUCUCAGGACCACAGUCACUCAGCCAUUCCAUUCACUCAUCACUCAGCAUUCGCACUUAGUAGGUAUUUGCGCUCACUCGGGGUGUGUACAGACUCCGGAGGGGCUCCUUCAGCCCAAGUGCUAUAAUCUGUACAGACAACUCACGUGUUAGUAUAAUAUCUGGAUCUGCACGGACAACUCACGUGUUAGUAUAAUAUCUGGAUCUGCACAGACAACUCACGUGCUAUAGUAUAAUAUCUGGAUCCGCACGGACAACUCACGUGCUAUAGUAUCAAUAUCUCACAAUCAGGCCCUCGGCCUCACUCAGUCAUAAAUCUCUUCAGUCUCUCCGACUCUCAAUAAUCAUGAAAGUCAGCCCAAACAACAAUGAGAUGAUGCAUCAAUAAUGAACAAUAGAGACUGAAAUAAAAUAAAUAAGAAAACUGUGACUGAGUACAAAACAACAAUUUAGCAGAUAAUUUAAUACGGACACGGCCUCUGUGGGUCCCUACAGUGCCAACACAUAAUCUAAACAUGAUUUGUGAUUUAAUUUCUCUACUACAUGGAGAAUGUAUAGAUAACAACAGAUUAUUCAACUACAGAGUUCCAUAGAAUUUGACCAAGUCACAAUUCCUACGGUGCACACCCACACGCCCGUCACCUAGCAUGUGCGUCACCUCAAACCAAUCAUAUAACACAUAAUCUGGGGUUUCAUACCCUCAGGACCAAAUUUAAAGCUGUUACUUACCUCAAUCCGAGCAAUUCUUUAUUCCAAUAAGCCUCUGCCUCGCGAAUCGACCUCUGAAUGCCUCAAAUCUAGUCACAAUUAAUUCGAUUNNNNNNNNNNNNNNNNNNNNAUCUAACCACGAGUCCCAACCAUACAAAUUUCACCAAAUUCCGACAUCAACUCGACCCUCAAAUCUUCAAUUAAAGUCUUUGAAGAUUUUCUACCAUUUUCAACCCAAUCUUUACACAUUUGAACUCAAUAAUCUUUCCACAAACCUUAUUGGUACGUGUAUAUAUAAAUAAUACUCUUACACCCAAGAAUCAUACUCCCAAUCACCCAUCUUUACCCAAACUCGAAAAUGAAGACUAGGGUUAGAAAUUCUUACCUCUUUGAAACCCUAGCAAGAUCCUUGUGAAAUCUUCAAAUCUUGAACAAGAAUUGAUGGACAACUGGUUAGGUCUUCACUUUUUCUCUCUAAGAUGCUCUCACUUCUCUCUAAAAUAUAAGAUGAAACCCUUCAAAAUGACCCCUAAUAGUGUUUUAUAAGAAUGGGAUCGGGUUUAUAAAACCCAAAAAAUGAAGUCCCGAAACACACUUUGCGGUCGCAUAUACGACCGUAUAAUGCUCCUACGGCCCGCAUAAUGGGUUGCAAAAAGGCCCUCCAUAACUGGGCAAUACUGUAUCAAAUUGCGGUCGUUAUGCGGUCUGCAGAUCUGUUUAGCGGUCGCAUAAUGCUCCGCAGAACUGGUGUGCGGUCGCAUAACGCGCUGCAGACCUUCCUCUAAACUUUCCCCACUUCUGAUUCACUCUGCGGCCAUUAUGCGGUCCGCAGAGUGAUUCUACUACCGCAUAGUGGGCCGUAGAAAUGACCUUUUUCCGGCAAAAUAUUUCCUUUUACUCAUCGACGCAUUGUUCAACCCAAAAGAUUUAAGCCGUGGCGAGAAAGCUCACCGUGAAGAAUUUCUAAAAUUCUCAAACAAGUAAGCCUAGUUCGGCACCAUGAAACCUUAAUUUCCUUAGCAAAUUUUUUUUCAGGGGUCGUUACACAUAGGUCAACAUCCACCCUUUUCAACUUAAGUUCUAAACCUUGGAACUAAGUAUUCCAAAUUAUUUCAAAACCUCACCGGACCCGAAGCAAUUACACUGGCAAGUCAAAUAACAAUCGAAAAGCACAAUUUGAGCAGUAAAUGGGGAGACGUGGUUGUAAUACUCGAAACGAUCGGCCGGGUCGUUACAGUAAAACGCACCCGCAAUGUACGACAUGAUUUUAUUUUAUUAUCACUUUGAAGUUAUAGUCAAGUUAUACGAGCGUUCACUCGAUUUUUGAAGUUACGUAUCAUGAUUAUGCAAUGGGAAUUAUACCCAUAGUUACGAUGAUUUAUUAUUAAAGCACACCUAACGCAAACUAUGAUAUUCGAAGGCUGUUGUCCUAAACUAAUUUGAGAUUUGUUGUGAGGUCUGUGAAUUAUGGAAAUCAUUUGUGGAUAACCGUAUAGGUAUUAAUUAAUUCUAAUCCUACAUGUUUGAGCCAAUAGUUGAAAUCUGCUAAGGUGAAUAAGAGACAUGACGCAAUUGCCUGUCCCAGCCAAUGACUUUGACAAAAUAAUCUGAGAGAGGUCAUCGUUUAUACUAACUUGCUGAACAAUUGAAAAUAAAAUAAAACACUAGCAAUAUUUAAUUCAUGCGAAUUUCAUUGGGUCAAACUCUAGGGCCCAUGACUUGGAGCAUCCAGACUCAUAUGCACAGCCCCUGUUGGGUCAUUUACAAGUCUGGCCCAAUUCACAACUUACGCACAAAUUAGCGCAAAAUUCUGGAGAUAAUCAAUCUUCAUAAGUUGGGUUUCAAAUUUGAAAUACAUUUGUAAUGAAUUGAAACAAGAUACAAUGCCAAACUAGAAUCAAAUUCAUAGAUUUAAACCAUCUGAUGACUCAACGCUAUUUAUUACAAUUACAGCCACUUUACACUAAUAAUCAAACCCAGUUCAUGUUCUUCCCUUCCAUUUCCCAUGAUUUAUUAAAGGUAUUUACCUCUUUAAUGUGAAUCCUCCCUAAAAGCAGGAAACAAACAUAGUAACUCUUACUGUUACGCAAAUAAAUAGCAACUGAAUCAAUGAAAUAUUUUCUUUAUCCUCAUUCAAUUAUAUUUUCAAAUAUAUGAUGUUAACAAAGACAUGGAAUCAAAUCACAUGAAACUGCUUGCAUGUUAUAAGGUCCAAUUUAAUCCAUAACCAUGGUCUAAUCAAGUUUACAAGCAUUUCACUCACCGCUGAAACUAAAUAAUAGCUAAUGGAUCAAAAUAGUAACAGCAAAUGAAUUAAGAAAUAACCACGAUUUCAUUUUAAAGCAGAUCUGGUAUAGAAUUCAGAUUGAGACACAUACCUAAAUCACAGGAGCUAAUUUAAAGAGCAAAUUGCCAAAUAAAGGCCAAACUUGAAGGUUGGAGCUCAGCUACUAAGUUGAUAGCAGAAAAACUUCAAUCACAGAUGAAAUCCAAGUUGAAGAACCCAGAAAAUGAUAGAGGAAAUCAUUUGGAAUUGACUAAAACAGUUGCAGCUCUCCCUAAUUGUUUUUGAGUAUAAAAUUGCUUAAACCUUUAUUGUUUUUUGGUGUUUUUCUUGUCAAUUUUUGAAGCUGAAAUUUUAGAUCUAAGAUCUGAAUUUGAAAGCUGUUUUUGAAUUAUUUUUUAGAGGCUGCUUUGUGACAAAUGCCUGAACGAAGAGAGAGUGAGUGUCAGUGCAGGUGCGUGAAGGGGAGAGUCUUUAUGCGGGAGUCUGUCCAUCAGAGAAUGAGAGUGUGUACUGUUUUAUAACAAACUCUCAGUAUAUUUUUCUGUUUUUCUUUUUUCUUUUUAGUCCUUCCUAUUACUGAACAGUCUAUAAUAAAAUCACCUUUACUCUUACUUCUAGCAUAUUAGUCCCUUUUUCCCUUUCCAGAAGUUUUUUUAACAGUUACACCCAAGAUUCCUUAAAUUUUUCUUUCCCUUAAACCCUCUUAGACUUUUAGUAAUUACAAACAAUAGUAACAAACGAACUCCAACAAAUUUAAAAUCAAAACAGAGCAAAUAACAUUAAAAAAACCAAGUAAUCUAAUAAUUAAUUCUAAUUCAAACAUGCGACUAACAUGAUUCAAGAUCAAUUAGCCUACAAGUUAAUUAUCAUGCAAUUAAACUAACUAAAAAGGAAUAUCCUAAUAUGCGAACACACAAACUGUCGAGCUAAACUAACAUACAAAUGCAAAUUUGAAUCAGAGAAUAGGGGAGGAGGAUAAGAUCAGAUUUAAAAUCAACAAAAAAAAAAAGAAAAAGAGGGGAAGGCAUACCUACUGAGUUUCAACAGAUUGAGAAAAAUGAUUCCAGCAAGCCGGAAAAGCAGAAAAGGUCAAUUGGAGAGCACCUAACCGGUCAACGACCGGUUGACGAAAAUCCGACAAUUAAAAAACGGGUUAAAUCUUACAUCAAUUGAUAGCUCUUGUCAAGAGCUAUCCAUUGAUGUAAAUUUCAACCGUAAUCAUGGCCGAUUUGAUCGAGAAAUGAUAAAAGGAGAUUUUAUUUUAUUUUUUAGAAUUCUGAGAUCUGCAAUUCAUGGAAUGCGACAGGGAUUUUGAAAAAAUUGACGGUAGAUUAGUGAUGAGAGGAGGUUGGGGAUUAUGGGGUGAUAUUUUGGGGGUAUUUGGCGACGGGCCGCUGCCAUGGACGAUUUUCGGCGACGGCAGACGAUGGAGGGUGGUGAGAGAGAUAUGAGAGGUCUGAG